Molecule: ribosomal RNA, 253 nt
Filed under: uncultured bacterium
Lineage: Bacteria
Description: partial 16S ribosomal RNA
Rfam family: Bacterial small subunit ribosomal RNA
Source: RNAcentral
UACGGGGGGGGCAAGCGUUGUUCGGAAUUACUGGGCGUAAAGGGCUCGUAGGUGGCCAACUAAGUCAUACGUGAAAUCCCUCAGCUUAACUGGGGAACUGCGUCUGAUACUGGAUGGCUUGAGUUUGGGAGAGGGAAGCGGAAUUCCGGGUGUAGCGGUGAAAUGCGUAGAUAUCCGGAGGAACACCGGUGGCGAAGGCGGCUUCCUGGACCGAUACUGACGCUGAGGCGCGAAAGCUAGGGGAGCAAACGGG